GACGGUUCCAGUGGCCUAGUGGUUAGAGCGUCCGCCUUGGAUGUGAGGGGUCGCGGGUUUAAACCUCGGCUGUGUCA
This is a non-coding RNA of Potamilus streckersoni, 77 nucleotides long. The record is from the annotation of a GenBank genome assembly. NCBI's taxonomy places the organism in Eukaryota, Metazoa, Mollusca, Bivalvia, Unionida, Unionidae.